AAGGGCAAGAGCCCAUACAACACCACACAAACCCACACACACACACCCACACAAAUAGACUCUAGGAUUACAUUCGAGCCGGAGACACCAAAACAUAAGACGACCACGACUGAGCUAGACACUCUAACUACCAGGGAGGAGGGCAGCCAAGAAAGAAAGCCCUCGAGCCCCAGCCAUAGACCACAGGCGGCGUUCCUCGCCAGCCAAGAUGAGCGCUUUGGCAAGGUUCGGGGCCGCUCCAUCAAAAACACAACUAUUACGAUGGUUCCAAAUAGUCCAAGCUCCAAGA
This 289-nucleotide long non-coding RNA is filed under the name Sorghum bicolor (sorghum). Its description in RNAcentral is "long non-coding RNA (SBIC_LNC012501)". Lineage: Eukaryota; Viridiplantae; Streptophyta; Magnoliopsida; Poales; Poaceae. The record is from RNAcentral.